Molecule: ribosomal RNA, 251 nt
Filed under: Clostridioides difficile
Lineage: Bacteria; Bacillati; Bacillota; Clostridia; Peptostreptococcales; Peptostreptococcaceae
Description: partial 23S ribosomal RNA
Rfam family: Bacterial large subunit ribosomal RNA
Source: RNAcentral
GAACGAACGAGUUACGUUAAGUAGCAAGGUUAAGCACUUAAGGUGUGGAGCCGUAGCGAAAGCGAGUUUUAACUGAGCGUUCAGUUACUUGACGUAGACCCGAAACCGGGCGACCUACCCAUGGGCAGGAUGAAGCGAAAGUAAAAUUUCGUGGAGGUCCGAACCCACGAGCGUUGAAAAGCUCGGGGAUGACUUGUGGGUAGCGGUGAAAUUCCAAUCGAGCCCGGAGAUAGCUGGUUCUCCCCGAAAUA